Molecule: long non-coding RNA, 1049 nt
Organism: Nothobranchius furzeri (turquoise killifish)
Lineage: Eukaryota; Metazoa; Chordata; Actinopteri; Cyprinodontiformes; Nothobranchiidae
Source: RefSeq, a predicted model, not a curated record
CGCUGGAAGUGAGGUUAGUUUUUUGUGUCACUGCAGAUAUAAAAACUAACUCUGCAUCAGUCAGACGCAGCAAAGCUCACCGUCUGUAUGAGCGUGAGCAUCGGAAAGCUGAUCAAAUUGGCUGUAAAAUAAUUAAAACAAAAGUAAAAAUGCUCCUUUGCUUUUUAGAGUCAACAUCCAGAAGGCUGGAGCCGUGUUUCACUGACAGGCUGUCAGACUAAUGCCCUGAUGAGCUCAGCUGGGACAAACUGGUCUGAUGUUUAGGAACACAGAACGUUCAGAUGUUGGAGCUUCAUGUCACCUACUGAGGAAGGAGACCCACCAGUAAAGAGACGGUCUGGACCAGACCAAAAAUAUGGCGAUGACAUCAUGUAACUGGUCUCUGGAAAAGUUUUCCCUGAACCAACUCCGUUUCUAGAUGAGGUAGAGAAGAUCUGCAUCUCACCAACUCUCUGGUCUCAGUACUCAGACAACGGAGGUCUCCCACUGUUAUCCAGGACCAGUUUGAAGCCCACAUACUGCCCCUCCCUCAUCAUCAGGAAACAUCAAUCCGUAUCCUGAGGACAACAGAAGACGGCAGGAGGACAGGAACUCUGAGACCUAGAUACCACAGCACCGAGACACAAAGCACCUGUGUGCACAACGCCUGUUUAACUACUAAAACCUGUUUAUUAUAUUGUUCCACUUAUUUGCUGUGAGGUUAAUACUAAGAAAAUAUGUAUAUUAAUGUAAACAAUUAAAAAAAUCACUGAUUGUAUGUUUUCUUUUAGAUGUAAUGGUCCAAACUCAGCCUUGUAGACAUUUAUUGCAUCCUGUAGGUAAAUACACAGAACAGGCUCAGAUCCAGGAUGGCCCAGCAUGCUCUUCUUCCAUUCUGGCUGUUAGGGAUUGUAUCAAUAACUCAAUGCCUACUGAUGUUUCCACCUAACGGUAUUUAUUUAGAAUGCAGGUAAGAUUUAACUAUAUUUGUUAGCAAAGCAGACUGAUCUUGGGAAUUUCACUGCAGCACUGAUGUCCACCUCUGUGUACACAUUAGAGAAUUACCAUGU